AUUACUGUUAUGUUGACAUCAUCAGCAGCCAUAUUAAACUACAGUGAUGUCAUUGUGUACACGAUAAAUUUAUCAAUCAGUAUUUUCAUUACUAUCUUAAAGUUAAAGCGUGUGGUGAUGCAAGAGUCCAGGGAAACUCAUCUUUUGCAUAAUACCGGUCUUACGUCAGAGGUUAAUAGUUUUUGAAAGCCACGUUAUGCACAAACUGGCAGACCACCCGCGGAUACAAUACUGCUUGCAUUGUUGACGGGCUGUAAAGUGGAUCUACGCUAUGUUUCAGACCUAGGUGCGAGUAUUCCAUGGCUUAUAAAUUAAUUAAAUACUUUGUGGCUGCCUCUCGUCAAUAUCGACCGUAACAUCAGGCCUGAUUAUAAUUUUUUUUUUUCAAUUACAAUUAAUCUUUUUUGUAAUUUAUUAGACAAAUCAUUUUGAUGAUAUAAUGACUAGAUAAAAUUUCAAAAAAGUAUGUUUAUAUAUGUAAACUUGUUUUGGCACACAGGAAGGAACCUAAAAAAGGUAUGGCAGUCAACGGGCUAAAUUAAAGUACUUAAAUAGAUUUCAGUUGAAAAAACAGAAGCAUCAAAUAAAGAAACAGUGUCAUACAACUAAUACAUUUUCACUUUGUCAUCAAGUUCUCAUUAUUCUAGAGUACUUUAUAUUUGUUGAAUACUAUAUUACUUCCUAAGCAUUUGUCUUUUCUUAAUUAGUUUGGAUUUUCUUCAGAAAAGUAUGUUUGUAUAUAUAUAUGUAAACGUGUUUUGGCACACAGGAAGGAACCUUAAAAAAGGUCUGGCAGUCAGUGUGUUAA
Anneissia japonica is the source of this 808-nucleotide long non-coding RNA. RefSeq lists it as uncharacterized. Lineage: Eukaryota; Metazoa; Echinodermata; Crinoidea; Comatulida; Comatulidae. The record is from RefSeq and is a predicted model, not a curated record. The transcript is spliced from 3 exons.